GAUGAACGCUGGCGGCGUGCCUAAUACAUGCAAGUCGAGCGAACGGACGAGAAGCUUGCUUCUCUGAUGUUAGCGGCGGACGGGUGAGUAACACGUGGAUAACCUACCUAUAAGACUGGGAUAACUUCGGGAAACCGGAGCUAAUACCGGAUAAUAUUUUGAACCGCAUGGUUCAAAAGUGAAAGACGGUCUUGCUGUCACUUAUAGAUGGAUCCGCGCUGCAUUAGCUAGUUGGUAAGGUAACGGCUUACCAAGGCAACGAUGCAUAGCCGACCUGAGAGGGGGAUCGGCCACACUAGAACUGAGACACGGUCCAGACUCCUACGGGAGGCAGCAGUAGGGAAUCUUCCGCAAUGGGCGAAAGCCUGACGGAGCAACGCCGCGUGAGUGAUGAAGGUCUUCGGAUCGUAAAACUCUGUUAUUAGGGAAGAACAUAUGUGUAAGUAACUGUGCACAUCUUGACGGUACCUAAUCAGAAAGCCACGGCUAACUACGUG
This 497-nucleotide ribosomal RNA is filed under the name uncultured bacterium. Its description in RNAcentral is "partial 16S ribosomal RNA". It matches the Rfam family "Bacterial small subunit ribosomal RNA", at positions 28 to 507 of the family's 1533-position model. The record is from RNAcentral.